Molecule: long non-coding RNA, 252 nt
Organism: Sebastes umbrosus (honeycomb rockfish)
Lineage: Eukaryota; Metazoa; Chordata; Actinopteri; Perciformes; Sebastidae
Exons: 2
Source: RefSeq, a predicted model, not a curated record
CCAAAGUGGCGGGUCGCCUGACGAUUUUAUCCGCCACUGCCAACAAUUUACUCGCAUUUGGGAAGAUGGUGUCAUUAAUUGUCUCAACACCUGCAUAUCCUUCCACUUCUCUGUUUCGGUGUGAAUGAAGGUCUUCCCAAUCUUCAUCUUCAUCCUGGGAAAUGGGUUCAGUUAUCAUUGUGAAACCUGCCACAACUGCAAACAUAUAACAGGGAGUUGCUCUAUAAAAUAACAAUCAACCCUGAAGGGAAA